UACGUAGGGUGCAAGCGUUGUCCGGAAUUAUUGGGCGUAAAGAGCUUGUAGGCGGUUUGUCGCGUCUGCUGUGAAAUUUCGGGGUUCAACCCCGAACUUGCAGUGGGUACGGGCAGACUAGAGUGUGGUAGGGGAGACUGGAAUUCCUGGUGUAGCGGUGAAAUGCGCAGAUAUCAGGAGGAACACCGAUGGCGAAGGCAGGUCUCUGGGCCAUAACUGACGCUGAGAAGCGAAAGCAUGGGGAGCGAACAGG
This 253-nucleotide ribosomal RNA is filed under the name uncultured bacterium. Its description in RNAcentral is "partial 16S ribosomal RNA". It matches the Rfam family "Bacterial small subunit ribosomal RNA", at positions 524 to 776 of the family's 1533-position model. The record is from RNAcentral.